This 253-nucleotide ribosomal RNA is filed under the name uncultured bacterium. Its description in RNAcentral is "partial 16S ribosomal RNA". It matches the Rfam family "Bacterial small subunit ribosomal RNA", at positions 524 to 776 of the family's 1533-position model. The record is from RNAcentral.
UACGUAGGGUGCAAGCGUUGUCCGGAAUUAUUGGGCGUAAAGAGCUCGUAGGCGGUUUGUUGCGUCGGCUGUGAAAUCCCGAGGCUCAACCUCGGGUCUGCAGUCGAUACGAGCAAACUAGAGUGUUGCAGGGGGGACUGGAAUUCCUGGUGUAGCGGUGAAAUGCGCAGAUAUCAGGAGGAACACCGGUGGCGAAGGCGGUUCUCUGGGAAUGACCUGACGCUGAGGAGCGAAAGUGUGGGGAGCGAACAGG